UCCGAAGUGGUCUAGUGGUAAGGAUUCCGCGUUCUCACCGCGGCGGCCGGGGUUCGAUUCCCCGCUUGGGAA
RNAcentral lists this transfer RNA (72 nucleotides) under Octopus bimaculoides (California two-spot octopus). Its description in RNAcentral is "transfer RNA glutamic acid (anticodon CUC)". It matches the Rfam family "tRNA". Rfam says of the family: Transfer RNA (tRNA) molecules are approximately 80 nucleotides in length. The record is from RNAcentral. Lineage: Eukaryota; Metazoa; Mollusca; Cephalopoda; Octopoda; Octopodidae.